Molecule: long non-coding RNA, 2264 nt
Organism: Homo sapiens (human)
Lineage: Eukaryota; Metazoa; Chordata; Mammalia; Primates; Hominidae
Exons: 3
Source: RefSeq, a predicted model, not a curated record
GGCAGCAAGUGGCAUCAUCCCCAUUUUACAGAUGAGGAAACUGAGGUUCAGAAACGUAGAGGCUCAUGGUAAUUCCAUAACUUGUAAGUCACGUGGGUAGCAAAAGUGAAAUUUGAACCCAGAUCUGUCCCACUCUAGAGGCCACCCUGUCGUGCAGGUGACACGGCCUUUAAGGACAGACGGACACACACGUGGCUGGACACGCUAACGGGAAGCUGGGGCCGAGCGCUGCCCACUCACCGGUCGGGGAUGCAGCUACAGUGGCUGGGGGUUGCAUGUGGGGAGCUGCUGGAGGAGCAGGAGAGGCAGGAGGAGCCCUGACUGCACAGGGGCUCCAGGUGCCAGGCUGGCAGGCUGGGCCCAAAGCCCUGCAUCUCGAUCAUGUCACCAGCGUCUGCGGGCAGGAAGGGUGGCAUGGUCAGGGCCUGAGACACCUUCUCUCCCAGGCACCCUGCACCAUGCCCACCUCUGUGCCCAGAGCUGCAGCAUCAAGUCACCCAUGGGUGGAAAAUCACAGAGGUGGGGCCUGCCUGGUCCAGAGCCCAGAGAUGGAAACGGUAGGGAGAGAGGGCGCCUGACACUUCCUAGCCUCCAGCAAGCCUGGAGAGGGGCGCAAGGCGUCCUUCUGCAUGUGGUAAAAUGCUUGGACUGAGUCUUGGAUGAUUGUGCCUAGCUCUAUCCUGCGACCAGCAAGCACUUGCUUUUCUAGAGGGAAGGGAAAGAAAGAGAAGGAACAAAGACCUGAGCUCCUCAAAGCCACCAGCUAGCUCAGCCUUCACGGAUUCAGCUCGGUCCUCUUGGCAAACUCUGAGAUGCUCAAGGAGGUCUUUGGAAUACUUCCAACUCUGAACGCUCCCCUCCAGGGAGUCCCCACUGUUCAAAGCCCCCGAGGAAUCUGAGUCACCUGCCCGUAGGCCUGGCUCUUCUGGGGGAGUCUAGAUCUGGUGGCCAGUGGCUACGGAUGAGCAGUGCCCCGUGCCCAGGCCAGGUACCCCUGCUGUCAGCUCCUAUGGCCCCUUUCUGAGCUCUGCUCCAUCCCUGCCUAGCCUGACAGCAGUUAGCAUGGUGGCCUCCCGAAAACACCAGGGAGCUGGAUGGAAGUCACAGGUCCCAGGACUACGAGGCCACUGCGGGGCCGGGAGUGGUGGCUGGGCACAGAGGCCCACUAUCCAAUGUGACAGAGAAGAACAGGCCCAGUUGCAGCCUCAGAAGAUGACUCCUUAGACACAGCUACGCUGCCAGCGACAGGGCCUGCCCAGCCAGCCCAGGCGGUCUGAAUCAGAACUCAAGACCCUCGAGAGCUUCCACGGCCCACGUGGGGCAGGGCACUGCUUAAGGGGGACUCUGGCAGGUCCAGGGAGCCACAGACAUGAAGCAAAGUGAGAGAGGAAGUGGAAGCACUGGGGGGUGAUGCCGGGAGGGAGGGAGAGAGUGGAGAAGAGUUCGGAAGAACAGGGAUGGAGAGCCGUGUGUGCUGAGGGAGUCCUGUCAGCAGCAGUUUGCUCGGCUGGCUCAGCCUGGGCCGGGGCCCACUGUGGCCUGCCGCAGGCGUGGGCCUGGCUUUGGUGGGAGCUGGACUCCAGCUCUGGGUGUGCCUUGGUGAGGAGGGCUGAGCUGAGCCCCUUCCGGUUCCCUCAGCGGUUGCCCUGCCUUGGCCGGGGCUCUCUUCCCAGACCCACGGCCGGGAGUUUUGCAGAUAUCUGGCCCUUCAGCUCCACCAGGAGGCAAAUUAAGGGAACACGCGUGGAAGGAGCUGAACCAGCCACAUUCGAACACUGUCUCUGAGCGAGCCCAGUGCAGAUAGCUGGGGCUAUGGCGUGACUGGGAAAAGGAAAGGGUUUUCCCAGAGCUGUCCUCAAGGAGCUGGAGUCGCUUGGUGGAGUUUCAGCCUCUGGGUGCCCUGGCUUGCCCUUGGCGAGGUGGUCCUGGAAGUGAAGUGACCAGGACUGGGAAAUGGCAAAGAUCGAAGAGGGGAGGCAGAGACUGGAGAAGCUAAACCAAGCAACAGCCUGAGACUAAGUGCCAAGUGUGUAAAUACAUUCUGGCCAAAGAUGCGUCUCUUUGUCAGGUACAUCUGGGAAGGGGGGACAUCCCUGUGCCGUGUGCCCUCUGAGCCUGGUGGAGCUAUCUGUGCUGUGGCUGAGUGUGCCGUCUGGGCAGUCCGGUCCCUAAUACAGAGACAACUUGUUGACAACUUUUUGGCACAAGUUGGAAAUUUAGGGAGCGGGUGGUCUUGUUAGCAAUAAACGCUCUGGGCUGGCAAA